GCCAGCAGCCACAUCACUCUGCAACUCACAGCUGGCAACCGCCUGAAGCUCAGCAGGUGUGAGCCUGGUCAGUACCUGGAUAGGAGACCUCCUGGGAAAAGGUCGCUGCUGGAA
This 114-nucleotide ribosomal RNA is filed under the name Lepisosteus oculatus (spotted gar). The record is from RNAcentral. Lineage: Eukaryota; Metazoa; Chordata; Actinopteri; Semionotiformes; Lepisosteidae.